UUUUAUUUCUCGGGCGGGCUCGGCUGGCGGGCGUAUUGUGGCUUUGCAUGGGAAAAGCUAUGGUGCUGCUGAUGCUCCCGGACAUUCUAAGAUUUAAGGGCUGCCACAAGGAGUUCCACAGUUCAGAAAAUGGAUGACCAAAGAGAAUUGAGAACACCCUAUCAGAAAUUCUGAAGGUUAUUGGAGAUUGAAUUCGGGCUAUACCAAAAUGGUUAUGUCAUCCAUAAAAUUAUGCCCAGGGAUAAAUUUGAAAAAAUGGUGGUUGAUAUGAUAUUGAGUUACAGUGACUGGAAUGGGAAUUCAUUUAGUGUAUUACAUAGUGCAUGCUAAAGUAAUCAAUUGUUG
Molecule: long non-coding RNA, 345 nt
Organism: Leguminivora glycinivorella
Lineage: Eukaryota; Metazoa; Arthropoda; Insecta; Lepidoptera; Tortricidae
Exons: 3
Source: RefSeq, a predicted model, not a curated record